This 466-nucleotide ribosomal RNA is filed under the name uncultured bacterium. Its description in RNAcentral is "partial 16S ribosomal RNA". It matches the Rfam family "Bacterial small subunit ribosomal RNA", at positions 28 to 507 of the family's 1533-position model. The record is from RNAcentral.
GAUGAACGCUGGCGGCGUGCUUAACACAUGCAAGUCGAACGAUGAAGCCCAGCUUGCUGGGUGUAUUAGUGGCGAACGGGUGAGUAACACGUGAGUAACCUGCCCUUAACUCUGGGAUAAGCCUGGGAAACUGGGUCUAAUACCGGAUAGGAGCGUCCACCGCAUGGUGGGUGUUGGAAAGAUUUAUCGGUUUUGGAUGGACUCGCGGCCUAUCAGCUUGUUGGUGAGGUAAUGGCUCACCAAGGCGACGACGGGUAGCCGGCCUGAGAGGGUGACCGGCCACACUGGGACUGAGACACGGCCCAGACUCCUACGGGAGGCAGCAGUGGGGAAUAUUGCACAAUGGGCGCAAGCCUGAUGCAGCGACGCCGCGUGAGGGAUGACGGCCUUCGGGUUGUAAACCGCUUUCAGUAGGGAAGAAGCGAAAGUGACGGUACCUGCAGAAGAAGCACCGGCUAACUACGUG